This 301-nucleotide ribosomal RNA is filed under the name uncultured bacterium. RNAcentral describes it as "partial 16S ribosomal RNA". It matches the Rfam family "Bacterial small subunit ribosomal RNA", at positions 509 to 807 of the family's 1533-position model. The record is from RNAcentral.
CAGCCGCCGCGGUAAUACGUAGGUGGCAAGCGUUGUCCGGAAUUAUUGGGCGUAAAGGGCUCGCAGGCGGUUUCUUAAGUCUGAUGUGAAAGCCCCCGGCUCAACCGGGGAGGGUCAUUGGAAACUGGGAAACUUGAGUGCAGAAGAGGAGAGUGGAAUUCCACGUGUAGCGGUGAAAUGCGUAGAGAUGUGGAGGAACACCAGUGGCGAAGGCGACUCUCUGGUCUGUAGCUGACGCUGAGGAGCGAAAGCGUGGGGAGCGAACAGGAUUAGAGACCCGUGUAGUCCCUGUCUCUUAUAC